This 491-nucleotide ribosomal RNA is filed under the name uncultured bacterium. RNAcentral describes it as "partial 16S ribosomal RNA". It matches the Rfam family "Bacterial small subunit ribosomal RNA", at positions 29 to 506 of the family's 1533-position model. The record is from RNAcentral.
AGUGAACGCUGGCGGUAGGCCUAACACAUGCAAGUCGAACGGCAGCACAGUAAGAGCUUGCUCUUACGGGUGGCGAGUGGCGGACGGGUGAGGAAUACAUCGGAAUCUACUUUUUCGUGGGGGAUAACGUAGGGAAACUUACGCUAAUACCGCAUACGACCUACGGGUGAAAGCAGGGGAUCUUCGGACCUUGCGCGAUUGAAUGAGCCGAUGUCGGAUUAGCUAGUUGGCGGGGUAAAGGCCCACCAAGGCGACGAUCCGUAGCUGGUCUGAGAGGAUGAUCGGCAACACUGGAACUGAGACACGGUCCAGACUCCUACGGGAGGCAGCAGUGGGGAAUAUUGGACAAUGGGCGCAAGCCUGAUCCAGCCAUACCGCGUGUGUGAAGAAGGCCUUCGGGUUGUAAAGCCCUUUUGUUGGGAAAGAAAAGCAGCAGGUUAAUACCCCGCUGUUCUGACGGUACCCAAAGAAUAAGCACCGGCUAACUUCGU